This is a long non-coding RNA of Leopardus geoffroyi (Geoffroy's cat), 726 nucleotides long. RefSeq lists it as uncharacterized. The record is from RefSeq and is a predicted model, not a curated record. The transcript has 2 exons. Lineage: Eukaryota; Metazoa; Chordata; Mammalia; Carnivora; Felidae.
GUGCUAAGGACAACAUGGAGGACAGCAGGGGUAUAGGGGAAGGGGUGUCUGGAAAUACUUGGGCAAAACCCUGGAGGACUGAGGAUGCCAGCUAGGGUGUCCUGUGGGCACUGGGGGAGCCUUUUAAGCCUUCAGAGCACAUGGGUAACAUGUUUCUCUUCCCUCUUAGGAAGUCCCCUCUGGCGGCCUUGCAGAACAGCUUGGAGGGGUAGGAACUGAGCGGGUAGCCCAGCAGGGAGGGAAACCAAUAAUCCAGAGCCUGAAGGAAACCAAGGAGCUCAAAGGCUUUGAGAGAGAUCUUGGAUGUGGCUGGAAGCUGUGGGAAAGGACAAAAGGUGGCUGUGUUGCCGGCGUCCCCCACCACACAUCUGUCACGACAGCAGGUACGGCACUCAGGAAAAGACAGCCCCGAGACUGGGGGCCAGCAGGGUGAAAACAUGAAGCACAGAAUUACCCUAUGAUCCAGAAAUUCCACGUCUGGGCAAUAGACCCAAAAGAACUGAAAGCAGAGACCCAAACAGGUACUUGCACACCCCUGUUCACAGCAGUGUUACUCACAAUAACCAACGCAAGCAUCCAUUGAUGCGUAAAGGGAUAAACAAAAUGGGGUAUAUACACACGGUGAAAUGUUACUCCGUCUUAAAAAGGAAUGAGAUUCUGAGACGCACUGCAACAUGGAUGAACCGGGAGGACACUGUGCUGACUGAGCCUAGCCAGUCCUAAGAG